UAAGAGCGCACCGCGCCGGUAGUAAUACCGGCGGCAGGGAAAACCCCACCUGGAGCAAGACCAAAUAGAGGGACAGGGUAAAACCAUGCGUGGUCCGCGCAGUCCCUGGGUAGGUUGCUAGAGAUGUACGGUGACGUGCAUUCGAGAUGAAUGAUUGCCCCUGUUAACGAAGGUUAACAGUACAGAACCCGGCUUACAGGUCGGCCCCCCAC
This 212-nucleotide RNase P RNA is filed under the name Gammaproteobacteria bacterium RIFCSPLOWO2_02_47_7. RNAcentral's name for it is "partial RNase P RNA component class A". It matches the Rfam family "Bacterial RNase P class A", at positions 168 to 367 of the family's 367-position model. Rfam says of the family: Ribonuclease P (RNase P) is a ubiquitous endoribonuclease, found in archaea, bacteria and eukarya as well as chloroplasts and mitochondria. Its best characterised activity is the generation of mature 5'-ends of tRNAs by cleaving the 5'-leader elements of precursor-tRNAs. Cellular RNase Ps are ribonucleoproteins. Lineage: Bacteria; Pseudomonadati; Pseudomonadota; Gammaproteobacteria. The record is from RNAcentral.